AGAGGAAGUAAAAGUCGUAACAAGGUCUCCGUAGGUGAACCUGCGGAGGGAUCAUUACAUCGUGACCCCGAGUCUAACCACCGGGAUGUUCAUAACCCUUUGUUGUCCGACUCUGUUGCCUCCGGGGCGACCCUGCCUUCGGGCGGGGGCUCCGGGUGGACACUUCAAACUCUUGCGUAACUUUGCAGUCUGAGUAAAUUUAAUUAAUAAAUUAAAACUUUUAACAACGGAUCUCUUGGUUCUGGCAUCGAUGAAGAACGCAGCGAAAUGAGGAUAAGUAAUGUGAAUUGCAGAAUUCAGUGAAUCAUCGAAUCUUUGAACGCACAUUGCGCCCCCUGGUAUUCCGGGGGGCAUGCCUGUUCGAGCGUCAUUUCACCACUCAAGCCUCGCUUGGUAUUGGGCAACGCGGUCAGCCGCGUGCCUCAAUCGACCGGCUGGGUCUUCUGUCCCCUAAGCGUUGUGGAAACUAUUCGCUAAAGGGUGAUCGGGAGGCUACGCCGUAAACAAAGCCAUUUCUAAGGUUGACCUCGGAUCAGGUAGGGAUACCCGCUGAACUUAAGCAUAUCAAUAAGCGGAGGAAAAGAAACCAACAGGGAUUGCUCUAGUAACGGCGAGUGAAGCAGCAAUAGCUCAAAUUUGAAAUCUGGCGUCUUCGACGUCCGAGUUGUAAUUUGUAGAGGAUGCUUCUGAGUAACCACCGACCUAAGUUCCUUGGAACAGGACGUCAUAGAGGGUGAGAAUCCCGUAUGCGGUCGGAAAGGUGCUCUAUACGUAGCUCCUUCGACGAGUCGAGUUGUUUGGGAAUGCAGCUCUAAAUGGGAGGUAAAUUUCUUCUAAAGCUAAAUAUUGGCCAGAGACCGAUAGCGCACAAGUAGAGUGAUCGAAAGAUGAAAAGCACUUUGGAAAGAGAGUUAAAAAGCACGUGAAAUUGUUAAAAGGGAAGGGAUUGCAACCAGACUUGCUCGCGGUGUUCCGCCGGUCUUCUGACCGGUCUACUCGCCGCGUUGCAGGCCAGCAUCGUCUGGUGCCGCUGGAUAAGACUUGAGGAAUGUAGCUCCCUCGGGAGUGUUAUAGCCUCUUGUGAUGCAGCGAGCGCCGGGCGAGGUCCGCGCUUCGGCUAGGAUGCUGGCGUAAUGGUCGUAAUCCGCCCGUCUUGAAACACGGACCAAGGAGUCUAACAUCUAUGC
Molecule: ribosomal RNA, 1187 nt
Filed under: Cladosporium cladosporioides
Lineage: Eukaryota; Fungi; Ascomycota; Dothideomycetes; Cladosporiales; Cladosporiaceae
Description: eukaryotic LSU rRNA
Rfam family: Eukaryotic large subunit ribosomal RNA (bases 523-1187)
Source: RNAcentral